RNAcentral lists this ribosomal RNA (427 nucleotides) under uncultured bacterium. RNAcentral's name for it is "bacterial SSU rRNA". It matches the Rfam family "Bacterial small subunit ribosomal RNA", at positions 355 to 774 of the family's 1533-position model. The record is from RNAcentral.
UGGGGAAUAUUGGACAAUGGGCGCAAGCCUGAUCCAGCCAUUCCGCGUGCAGGACGAGGGCCUUCGGUUUGUAAACUGCUUUUGUACGGAACGAAAAGCCCUUCUCUAAUACAGAGAGGUCAUGGCGGUACCGUAAGAAUAAGGAUCGGCUAACUCCGUGCCAGCAGCCGCGGUAAUACGGAGGAUCCAAGCGUUAUCCGGAAUCAUUGGGUUUAAAGGGUCCGUAGGCGGUUUAAUAAGUCAGUGGUGAAAGCCCAUCGCUCAACGAUGGAACGGCCAUUGAUACUGUUAGACUUGAAUUACAAGGAAGUAACUAGAAUAUGUAGUGUAGCGGUGAAAGGCUUAGAUAUGCGGAGGAAAACCGAUGGCGAAGGCAAUCCCCUGAGCCUGCACUGACGCUCAUGCACGAAAGCGAGGGGAGCAAACA